AUUGAACGCUGGCGGCGUGCUUAACACAUGCAAGUCGUGCGGUAACAGGCGUAGCAAUACGUGCUGACGAGCGGCGAACGGGUGCGUAAUACAUGGGAAUCUGCCCUUUAGUGGGGAAUAACCCGGCGAAAGCCGGGCUAAUGCCGCAUAAGAUCUUCGGAUGAAAGCGGGGAGUCGUAAGACCUCGCGCUGAUGGAUGAGCCCACUGUCGGAUUAG
Molecule: ribosomal RNA, 217 nt
Filed under: uncultured bacterium
Lineage: Bacteria
Description: partial 16S ribosomal RNA
Rfam family: Bacterial small subunit ribosomal RNA
Source: RNAcentral